UUUUGUUUUUUUUUAUUACUAUAAUGUCUGUACUUUAAAAAACUGAUUAAUGGGGCACUAUAGGGUCAGGAACACAAACAUGUAUUCCUGAUCCUACAGGGUUAAAACCACCAUCUAAGCAUCUAAACCCCCUGCCCACACCUUGCCCUCCUAAAUAUAGUAAAAUCUUACUUGUAUUCCAGUCUGCUGAUGCUGAUUCUGAUGCCCCUGAUCUGCCUGCGUGACUGUCAUUAUCAGUAGUGAUUAUCUGAGCCAAUCACAAUGCUUUCUGAGUUGGCAAAAUAGCGGAGUUGGAGAAUUUUUCAAAUUGAGCAGGCAACAGCAAUAUAUUGUUGGGUGGUUGACGUUACAGGGACCAAGAGUUAGUUAAAUGUGUCUUACCAAACGAUUUUACAUUUGUAGUUUUUUUUCCCUAAGGAAGCAACUCACCACUGUGAAUAUAAUUUUCUAAGAAACUAAGACUGGCAAGAUUAUAUUCCC
Pelobates cultripes (western spadefoot toad) is the source of this 480-nucleotide non-coding RNA. The record is from the annotation of a GenBank genome assembly. NCBI's taxonomy places the organism in Eukaryota, Metazoa, Chordata, Amphibia, Anura, Pelobatidae.